RNAcentral lists this transfer RNA (71 nucleotides) under Tanichthys albiventris. Its description in RNAcentral is "Tanichthys sp. c TY-2022 tRNA-Gly". It matches the Rfam family "tRNA". From Rfam's summary of the family: Transfer RNA (tRNA) molecules are approximately 80 nucleotides in length. Their secondary structure includes four short double-helical elements and three loops (D, anti-codon, and T loops). Lineage: Eukaryota; Metazoa; Chordata; Actinopteri; Cypriniformes; Tanichthyidae. The record is from RNAcentral.
AUCUUUCUAGUAUUAAUUUAGUACAGGUGACUUCCAAUCACACAGUCUUGGUUAAACUCCAGGGAAAGAUA